AACGAUGAACCUCACUUGUGGGGGGAUUAGUGGCGAACGGGUGAGUAACACGUGAGUAACCUGCCCUUGACUCUGGGAUAAGCCUGGGAAACCGGGUCUAAUACUGGAUACGACCUUCUGGCGCAUGCCAUGUUGGUGGAAAGCUUUUGUGGUUUUGGAUGGACUCGCGGCCUAUCAGCUUGUUGGUGGGGUAAUGGCCUACCAAGGCGACGACGGGUAGCCGGCCUGAGAGGGUGACCGGCCACACUGGGACUGAGACACGGCCCAGACUCCUACGGGAGGCAGCAGUGGGGAAUAUUGCACAAUGGGCGCAAGCCUGAUGCAGCGACGCCCCGUGAGGGAUGAAGGCCUUCGGGUUGUAAACCUCUUUCAGUAGGGAAGAAGUCCAUCUUUCGGGGUGGGUGACGGUACCUGCAGAAGAAGCGCCGGCUAACUACGUGCCAGCAGCCGCGGUAAUACGUAGGGCGCAAGCGUUAUCCGGAAUUAUUGGGCGUAAAGAGCUCGUAGGCGGUUUG
This 515-nucleotide ribosomal RNA is filed under the name Arthrobacter agilis. RNAcentral's name for it is "bacterial SSU rRNA". It matches the Rfam family "Bacterial small subunit ribosomal RNA", at positions 65 to 582 of the family's 1533-position model. Lineage: Bacteria; Bacillati; Actinomycetota; Actinomycetes; Micrococcales; Micrococcaceae. The record is from RNAcentral.